Molecule: ribosomal RNA, 1175 nt
Filed under: uncultured organism
Description: bacterial SSU rRNA
Rfam family: Bacterial small subunit ribosomal RNA
Source: RNAcentral
CGUGAAAGCCGGGGAUCGAAAGACCUGGCGGCCAGAGAGCGGCCCAUGUCCUAUCAGCUUGUUGGUGAGGUAACGGCUCACCAAGGCGACGACGGGUACCGGUGCUGAGAGGUUGACCCGGUGCAUCGGGACUGAGACACUGACCGGACUCCUAGCGGGAGGCUGCAGCAGCGAAUAUUCCACAAUGGGCGAAAGCCUGAUGGAGCGACGCCGCGUGUGGGAGUAAGCCCUUCGGGGUGUAAACCACUGUCAGGGAUCACCAAGCGACCGGGGCGAACAGUCCCGGAAGUUGAGGAGUCCCAGAGGAAGUCACGGCUAACUUCGUGCCAGCAGCCGCGGUAAGACGAAGGUGGCGAGCGUUGUUCGGAAUUACUGGGCUUAAAGAGCACGUAGGUGGGCUUGCAAGCGUCUUGUGAAAGCCCCCGGCUUAACCGGGGAAUUGCAGGGCGAACUGCCAGCCUUGAGGCAGGUAAGGGCGAGUGGAACUCUUGGUGGAGCGGUGGAAUGCGUAGAUAUCAAGAGGAACGCCGGAGGUGAAGACGACUCGCUGGGCCUGUCCUGACACUGAGGUGCGAAAGCCAGGUGAAGCAAACGGGACUUAGAUACCCCGGUAGUCCUGGCCUUACACGAUGUCCACUAGGUCGGAGGCCUUCUGACAGGCUUCUGGCUGCCAGGAAACCAUUAAGUGGACCGCCUGGGGAGUACGGUCGCCAAGGCUAAAACUCCAAAGGAAUUGACGGGGGCUCACACAAGCGGUGGAGCAUGUUGCUCAAUUCGAUGCAACGCGAAGAACCUUAUCCUGGGCUUGACAUGUUCGGAUGCCUCCCUGGAAACAGGGUUGGUUGCCCUUCGGGGUGAAACGUUCACAGGUGCUGCAUGGCUGUCGUCAGCUCGUGUCGUGAGAUGUUGGGUUAAGUCCCGUAACGAGCGAAACCCUUGUCGCUAGUUGCCAGCGAGUUAUGUCGGGGACAUCUAGCGAGACUGCCGGUGUCAAACCGGAGGAAGGUGGGGAUGACAGUCAAGUCCUCAUGGCCUUUAUGCCCAGGGCUGCAAACGUGCUACAAUGGCUGAUACAAAACCGAAGCAAGACCGUGAGGUGGAGCAAAUCGGACAAAAACAGCCCCAGUUCGGAUUACAGUCUGCAACUCGACUGUAUGAAGUUGGAAUCGCUAGUA